AUUGAACGCUGGCGGCAGGCCUAACACAUGCAAGUCGAGCGGAUGAAGGGAGCUUGCUCCUGGAUUCAGCGGCGGACGGGUGAGUAAUGCCUAGGAAUCUGCCUGGUAGUGGGGAUAACGUCCGGAAACGGGCGCUAAUACCGCAUACGUCCUGAGGGAGAAAGUGGGGAUCUUCGGACCUCACGCUAUCAGAUGAGCCUAGGUCGGAUUAGCUAGUUGGUGGGGUAAAGGCCUACCAAGGCGACGAUCCGUAACUGGUCUGAGAGGAUGAUCAGUCACACUGGAACUGAGACACGGUCCAGACUCCUACGGGAGGCAGCAGUGGGGAAUAUUGGACAAUGGGCGAAAGCCUGAUCCAGCCAUGCCGCGUGUGUGAAGAAGGUCUUCGGAUUGUAAAGCACUUUAAGUUGGGAGGAAGGGCAGUAAGUUAAUACCUUGCUGUUUUGACGUUACCAACAGAAUAAGCACCGGCUAACUUCGUG
RNAcentral lists this ribosomal RNA (482 nucleotides) under uncultured bacterium. RNAcentral's name for it is "partial 16S ribosomal RNA". It matches the Rfam family "Bacterial small subunit ribosomal RNA", at positions 30 to 507 of the family's 1533-position model. The record is from RNAcentral.